AGAACGAACGCUGGCGGCAUGCCUAAUACAUGCAAGUCGAACGAGAUCUUCGGAUCUAGUGGCGCACGGGUGCGUAACGCGUGGGAAUCUACCCUUGGGUUCGGAAUAACAGUUGGAAACGACUGCUAAUACCGGAUGAUGACGAAAGUCCAAAGAUUUAUCGCCCAAGGAUGAGCCCGCGUAGGAUUAGCUAGUUGGUGAGGUAAAGGCUCACCAAGGCUACGAUCCUUAGCUGGUCUGAGAGGAUGAUCAGCCACACUGGGACUGAGACACGGCCCAGACUCCUACGGGAGGCAGCAGUAGGGAAUAUUGGACAAUGGGCGCAAGCCUGAUCCAGCCAUACCGCGUGGGUGAAGAAGGCCUUGGGUGUAAA
This 373-nucleotide ribosomal RNA is filed under the name uncultured soil bacterium. RNAcentral's name for it is "bacterial SSU rRNA". It matches the Rfam family "Bacterial small subunit ribosomal RNA", at positions 26 to 429 of the family's 1533-position model. The record is from RNAcentral.